Molecule: long non-coding RNA, 2212 nt
Filed under: Eucalyptus grandis
Lineage: Eukaryota; Viridiplantae; Streptophyta; Magnoliopsida; Myrtales; Myrtaceae
Description: long non-coding RNA (EGRA_LNC005577)
Source: RNAcentral
GGCAUCAUACCACCGGAUCUCAAUCGAACCAUCAUAGCCCUAAUACCCAAGGUACCACAUCCUGAACGAUUAGACCAAUACCGCCCCAUCAGUCUUUGUAAUUAUGCAUAUAAGAUCAUUUCUAAGGUGAUUGCCAAUCGCCUUAAGCCCUACCUGCCUGUACUUAUUUCCCAGGAGCAAAGCGCUUUUGUCAGUGGACGUCAAAUUCAGGACAAUAUCUUAAUAGUCCAAGAGGUUCUACAUCAAUUUAAAGUCAGAAAAUGUAGACGUCAAUUCCGGGCUGUUCUUAAAAUGGAUAUGCAGAAAGCCUAUGACAGGGUGGAAUGGGACUUUCUAAAGGACUAUCUCCUCACUCUAGGAUUUCACCCUACAUGGGUACACUGGAUCAUGCAAUGCAUAACGACGGUGUCUUUUGCUGUCAAAUUCAACGGCGAACUUUUGCCUUAUUUUCAACCUACCCGAGGCAUCAGACAGGGAGAUCCCCUAUCUCCCUACCUUUUUAUCCUUCUGGCGAAUCUAUUAUCCCAUCUUAUUCAUCAAGCUAUCACCAUAGGUCAUCUCAAGGGAAUCAAACUGAACAGGUGGUGUCCCACUCUAUCCCAUCUAUUUUUUGCUGAUGAUGCUAUCUUCUUUCUAGACGGAAAAUUGCUUGAAUGUCGGAAUUUAGCGAACAUUAUAAAUCAAUAUUGUUAUGCUACUGGUCAAGCUAUCAAUAGAAAUAAAUCUAACAUAUUUUUCAGCAAAUUCUACCCUCUCAGUCUCCAAGAAAAUUUAGCUGGAGUGCUUCGAAUUCCAGUGGUUCAGAGGACGGGAAAGUAUCUAGGCAUACCAUCGGAUUGGGGCAGAUCUAAACGGGACAUGUUUGCUUGGAUUUUGGGGAGGGUGAAUGCCAAACUAGAGGGAUGGAAAGAAAGUCUGCUGUCUAAGGGUGGAAAGGAAAUAUUACUUAAAUCUGUCGUACAAGCGAUACCUCAAUAUGCCAUGUCCAUUUUUAGAAUUCCUACUUCUAUUUGUCGAUCCAUUGAACAGAAAGUUGCGAGGUUUUGGUGGCAGAAAGAUAGUACUAAAGCAAGUAUUCACUGGAAAAGUUGGCCUGUUCUUAAGCGUAGCAAACAGAGUGGGGGCCUAGGCUUUAGGGAUCUUCAAGAUUUUAAUAAAGCCAUGCUUGGGAAACAAGCAUGGCGAUUAGUUCAAAACCCAACGGCGCUAUGGAGUACACUUUUUAAAGGGCUUUACUUUCACUCUACUGAUUUUAAUCAUGCUGAAAGGGGAUCAAGACCUUCCUGGGGAUGGCGCAGUAUUCUAGUUGGGAGGGAGUCUAUUUUACCUCAUCUUCGCUGGUCAGUAGGAAAUGGACAGUCUAUUCAAGUCAGACAGGAUCGAUGGCUUCCGAGAGGAGUUAUCGGGGGCCCGGCUAAUCGGAAUGACCCAUUAUUUGUUACCGAAUUAAUGGACCCGGACAGUCACAAUUGGAACGUUCCUCUUCUGCACCAACAUUUUGAUGAUUCCACAGUCCAAGAAAUACUUAACAUCCAGGUUCGUCCUCAAUAUACUUCUGAUAGAAUUAUCUGGACAGGUACUACAAAUGGUACAUAUUCGGUGAAAAAAGGAUAUCAUACCCUUAGGAAUGCAACUCCCACUACUCAACAAAAUAUAGCAUCUUCGUCCUAUCACCCACCCAAAUCACUGUGGAAAGCUAUUUGGGCUGUGAAGCUUCCCCCUAAAAUCCGACCUUUCCUCUGGUCGGUCUGCCAUAACGCUUUAGCUACGAAAGCCAAUUUAUUCCAGCGGUGCAUCACUACAGAUUCCUAUUGCCCCAUCUGUUCAAACUUUAUCCCAGAAACUACAGAACACCUCUUCCUACUAUGUCCAUGGGCGCAACAUCUAUGGUCUCAUCCACAGAUUAACAUUCCCAUCACUCAGCAAUCAAUUACACGGAUAGAUGUGUGGUUAGCCGCUCAGCUAGAAGAACGGCGUACCUGUCCUGAUCUGCAAAUGAUUGCAGCUCUGUUGUGGCUAAUUUGGAAGGCACGCAACCGCUUUGUAUUUCAGCAACAACAUCCUGUUCAUCUUCAGGUUAUUCACAUGGCUUCUGCCCAGGUUCACGCUUACAAUCUCUCUGAUCCGUUGCCGCAGCAAUCAACCCGCUCAUCUCUGCAGCGAACGUCCCGCUGUUCUCUACAUCCUCAUUCACUAUGGCGACCACUAGAUC